RNAcentral lists this ribosomal RNA (759 nucleotides) under uncultured archaeon. RNAcentral's name for it is "bacterial SSU rRNA". It matches the Rfam family "Archaeal small subunit ribosomal RNA", at positions 112 to 879 of the family's 1478-position model. The record is from RNAcentral.
CCCUGAUGGAGGGGAACCCCGGGAACUGGGGAUAAUACCCCAUAGACUAUGGAUGCUGGAAUGCUCUGUAGCCGAAAGGUCCGCCGCCACAGGAUGGGUCUGCGGCCGAUUAGGUUGUUGUUGGGGUAACGGCCCAACAAGCCUGUAAUCGGUACGGGUUGUGGGAGCAAGAGCCCGGAGAUGGAUUCUGAGACACGAAUCCAGGCCCUACGGGGCGCAGCAGGCGCGAAAACUUUGCAAUGCGGGAAACCGUGACAAGGGAACUCUGAGUGCCCGUAAAAUCGGGCUGUCCAUCGGUUUAAAUAACCGGUGAAGAAAGGGCCGGGCAAGACCGGUGCCAGCCGCCGCGGUAAUACCGGCGGCUCGAGUGGUGGCCACUAUUACUGGGCUUAAAGCGUUCGUAGCUGGUCUGUUAAGUCUCUGGGGAAAUCUUCCGGCUUAACCGGAAGGCGUCUCAGGGAUACUGGCAGACUAGGGACCGGGAGAGGUGAGAGGUACUCCAGGGGUAGGAGUGAAAUCCUGUAAUCCUUGGGGGACCACCUGUGGCGAAGGCGUCUCACCAGAACGGCUCCGACAGUGAGGGACGAAAGCUGGGGGAGCAAACCGGAUUAGAUACCCGGGUAGUCCCAGCUGUAAACGAUGCGCGUUAGGUGUAUCGGUGACCACGAGUCACCGAGGUGCCGAAGAGAAAUCGUGAAACGUGCCGCCUGGGAAGUACGGUCGCAAGGCUGAAACUUAAAGGAAUUGGCGGGGGAGCAC